UUUCAAGUCUUUAAGAGCAAACGGUGGAUGCCUUGGCAUCUGGAGCCGAAGAAGGACGUAGCAAUCUGCGAUAAGCCUCGGGGAACUGAUAAGCGAGUUUUGAUCCGAGGGUGUCCGAAUGGGGAAACCCCGCCAGGGCGCGUGCGUACCUGGUGACUCCCGCCUGAAUAUAUAGGGCGGGUAGAGGGAACGUGGGGAAGUGAAACAUCUCAGUACCCACAGGAAGAGAAAGCAACAGCGAUUCCGUGAGUAGUGGCGAGCGAAAUCGGAAGAGGCUAAACCUAGCGUGUGUGAUAGCCGGCAGGCGUUGCAUGUUGGGGGGUUGUGGGACUUUUCGGAUUGUUCUGCCGAGCAGUCGACGUGACAAGAGGGUAUAGACGAACGGUUUUGAAUGGCCGGUCAUAGAGGGUGCGAACCCCGUAGUCGAAAUGCUUGUUCUUGGCGUGAAGAGUAUCCCAAGUAGCACGGGGCCCGAGAAAUCCCGUGUGAAUCUGUCAGGACCACCUGAUAAGCCUAAAUACUCCCAGAUGACCGAUAGCGGACAAGUACCGUGAGGGAAAGGUGAAAAGUACCCCGGGAGGGGAGUGAAAUAGUACCUGAAACCGUUUGCUUACAAACCGUUGGAGCCUCCUUAGUAGGGGUGACAGCGUGCCUUUUGAAGAAUGAGCCUGCGAGUUAGCGAUACGUGGCGAGGUUAACCCGUGUGGGGUAGCCGUAGCGAAAGCGAGUCUGAAUAGGGCGAUUCAGUCGCGUGUCCUAGACCCGAAGCGAAGUGAUCUAUCCAUGGCCAGGUUGAAGCGACGGUAAGACGUCGUGGAGGACCGAACCCACUUAGGUUGAAAACUGAGGGGAUGAGCUGUGGAUAGGGGUGAAAGGCCAAUCAAACUUCGUGAUAGCUGGUUCUCUCCGAAAUG
Microbacterium sp. is the source of this 914-nucleotide non-coding RNA. NCBI's taxonomy places the organism in Bacteria, Bacillati, Actinomycetota, Actinomycetes, Micrococcales, Microbacteriaceae. The record is from Rfam.